GGUUUUAUCUUCCCUUUAUUACAAGAAGGAACAAUAAAAUAGAAACAUUUGUAUGGAAAAUGCAGUGAGGAGUGGUAGGGAAGCAGGUGAGGAGGGGACAGGGCAGAGAAACUCCCGGUUCAGGGAGGGAAGGGGAGCAGGCUGCCCCCAAGCCCUCCCACGCAGAGGAUCAUGACCCGAGGUCCAGGGCCCUAGAGCUGGUGGGGCAGUGUGGGGGACAGUUCUGUGCCCGGCUCCACGCAGCAGUCUCGACAGCAACAGCCAGCUGCCGGCCCUGCAUGGGAAGACAGAACAGAGGUGGCCGCAGGGGCAGGCCCUCCACUCCAGCCCGGGUGCACCUCUGUGGACCACCCAUGCCCUUCUGCAGAGCCCGCUCCUCACCCCCAGCCACUGGUGUCAGCAGCUCCCCAUGGCUCGCCGUCUGCCCCUGCCCCUCCUGGCUGGUGCCCAGCUGCAGUUUCCUCAUGUGCCGCACCACAGCCGUGGCAUUGAAGGCUUGCUGGCAUUGAAGGCAUUGAAGGGAGAGGGGAGAAAGGACUUUUGAGAGAGUCAAGUCAUGGGGCAGGAGCGCAGUGGGAUUCUUGGAAUUGUUCUGUUAUUUUCAUUCAGGAGUUAUUUUAUUGAUUCCCCUAAAGUCCCCCAAAAACCUCUACAAGGCUUUAUUAUAUAUUUACACACACACACGCACAUAUGUUAGAUGUAUGUGUAUCUAUAUAUAUAAAUAGAAACAUAACUCUAUAAUUCAUAUUAAUAUGUAAUAGCAAACACUAUAGCACUGUAUGUCAGGCACUGUUCUAAGCACUUUACGUAGUAAUUCAUUUAAUCUUCAUGAAAGUCUUUGAGGUAGGUACUAUUAUCAUUUUCAAAGGAGGAAACUGAGGCACAGAAAGCUGAAGUAACUUGCUCAGGUGUGUCUCUAUUCAAUAUCUCCACCUAGGUGUCCCACACACCCCUCAAAUUCACCAUGUCUAAAACUAAAACCAUCCCCCCAAAACAUGUUUCUGUCCCUGUGAUAACCAUCUCAGUCAUGGUACCACCACCAUCCAUUCUGUUCCCAGCCACAGUCUUGGGCCAGCCCUUGACAUCUCUUUCCCCCAACAUCCAUUGCAUCGUCAUGUCUUGUCAGUUUCACCUCCUAAAUGACUCCUGGAUCAACCACUGUUCUCUACCCCCUGUUGCUGCUACUGUGGUUCCAAACCCUUACCAUCUCCUGCCUGUAUCUCUGCCACAGCCUCCUAAUGCGUCACCCAGUCUUUACUCCAUGCCAUUCUCUGCAUCCUGAGAGCUCUUUCUUUUUUUUUGAGGUGGAGUCUCACUUUGUUGCCCAGGCUGGAGUGCAGUGGCGCGAUCUCAGCUCACUGCAACCCCCAUCUCCGAGGUUCAAGUAAUUCUCCUGCCUCAGCUUCCCAAGUAGCUGGGAUUACAGACACGCACCACCAUGUGUGGCUAAUUCUUUUAUUUUUAGUAGAGACAGGGUUUUGCCACGUUGGCCAGGCUGGUCUUGAACUCCUGACCUCAGGUGAUCCAACCACCUCGGCCUCCCAAAGUGCUGGGAUUACAGGCGUGAGCCACCAUGCCUGGCCCUGAGAGCCCUUUCUAUGCAGCAACUACUUGCCUAAGAUUCUUCUGGGGCUCCUCAGUGCCCUCAGGAUCAAGUUGGUGCUCCUCUGUGGCAUAUGAGGCCCUAAGAGGCCUGGCCCCUUACCUGCUUCUCUAAAUUGGGCUCCUGCCUCUCAGUCCCCUCAGCCCCUCCAGUCUGGCCAGGCUUAGCACUUGCACUUCCCGGAAUGGCUAUAGACAUUAUUCCGCUAUGCCUCGCUAAUUCCUACUUAACUGACAGCUCUGUCAGGUCAUCACCACUUUUAUGACCUUUCUCGGACCCCAUAGGCUGGAUCAGAUGCCUCCUGAAGAAUUACAGACUUCUUCCUCUAGACUUGGAGGUGAGGGACCCUCUCUGGAAUAGAGAAGGUGUUGGGAGUGUUUGUUGAAUGAAAGAGUGAAUGAAUGAAGUCCUUCAGUAAGGAUCCCUAAGCAGUUACUGUGUGCCCAAUGUGAUGCCAGGUGCUGUGCAAGCUGAGCCUGGGUAGGGAUGGGGAGGAGUCCUGGGGAGGCUGGGACCAGAACUAGGGAUAUGGACUCACCUUCCACUUGCUCUUGGCAAAGUUCUUCUUGAUCUGCUCACUCACCGACUGGUGGAUAUUCUUAUCUAGAGCUGUAUCUCCUGCAAUCCUAGGAUGGGGUUGUGUGGUGGGUUGCCUAUGAGGGCAGAAGCAGACCUGAGGGCCCCAAAUCCCGCCCCAGCUCACAGGUUGUGUGAAUUCUCACCAUGGGUGCUGCAAGGCCUGCUCACAGGUGAAUCUUUUCUCUGGGUCCUUCUCCAUCAAGUGCCGGAUGAAAUCUUUGGCUAAACCCCCAAGACAAAAGCAAAGAUAAUGACAGCAUGGUACUGCCUGUGUACUCCCCAAGAGCAUACCCACUCCCUCAGGUCUGGCCUGGCAUCAAGACAAAGAGGCCAAAUCAGUCCAUGCCCCACCCCACCCAACCUAUGCUCUUCUUCAGGCCCUCCCACCCCCGUGCCUUCCAGCUCUUUCCUUUCUCUCUUAAGAAAAACAUAUGGCCGGGCACAGUGGCUCAUGUCUGUAAUCCCAGCACUUUGGGAGGCCAAUGCAGGUGGAUCACAAGGUCAGGAGUUCAAGACCAGCCUGGCCAAGAUGGUGAAACCUUGUUUCUACUAAAAAUACAAAAAAAAAUUAGCCGGGCAUGGUGGUGGGCGCCUGUAAUCCCCGCUACUUGGGAGGCUGAGGCAGAGAAUUGCUCGAACCCGGGAGACAGAGGUUGCAGUGAGCCGAGAUUGUGCCACUGCACUCCACCCUGGGCAACAGAGCGAGACUGCGUCUCAAAAAAGAAAGAAAAGAAAAAAAAAAGUUGUUCUUGACUAAUCUCAGUGCAUUCACACUGAUGAUAAACGAUAGUAGCUUCACAGGUUUGCUUCUUAAUAGGGGGCACAAAAGGAGGAUGAAAAUGUUUAUGGUGGUGUUUUAGACAUUAGGGUGUCAAUAGGGGAGAGGUAUUUUCAAAUAGACUAUGUUUGAAGAUUGAACAAAUGAAUGCCUAGUUUCUCACUCUGGGAGCCAAGCAGAAGGAAGUACCCAAGCAGAAGGAAGAAGGGGUAGGGUGUCUGGUCUCGAAGACAGCUCUUUGUGUGGUGCUGGAAAAUCCGACAGAAGGAAGGCAGGAGGGAGACCGCCCCCAAAGCAGGUGAGGGAGGAACCAGAGGCAGGGCCCAGGGGAAAAAGGCAAAGCCCCAAAUACCAGAGUCAGAGAUGUCGUCCCAGUAAGGAGAGUCAAACUCGUACUCGGCCUUCAAAAUCUGUUCAAAGAGUUUGGCAUCAUUCUCGUCAUAGAAGGGAGGGUAACCGCAGAGCCUGGGCAGGGAGAAACUCAUCCUCAUUUCCACUUUCGGGUGCCAUUGGCUCCGGGGUGGAGCACUGGGGCAGUCUCAGGGGUCAGGCAGGAGCCAUGGAAGGAGUUCCCCCUUUAUAAACUCUACCAGCCCUGCCUGCUCACUCCUGUUCUAGCUACAUUAUCCUUUCUGUUCCUUGAAUGUGCCGCCAUCUUGCCCUCCUCAGGGCCUUUGCACUUGCCAUUGCCUCUGCCUAUGCCACUCUUUCCCCACACCUCCAAUGUCUGGCUCCCUCACCACUCGGACAUCACCUCCACAGCGAGCCCUUCCCUGACCUCCCUACUGAAAUGGCAUCACCCCGUCUCCCUAUCCCUGCUUGGUUUUUCUCCACAGUAUUUAUUUUUAUCACCUGACGUCAGUUUGUAGAUUUAUUUACUUGUUGAUUGUCUGUCUUCCCUACUAGAAAGAAAGUCAGCUCCCUGAGGGCAGGCACUUUGUCUGGUUUGUGCUGUGCUAAAUUUACCCCAGUGCUUGCUUGGCACAGUGCUUGAAACAUAGUAUCUAUUGAAUGAAGUAAUACUGGUAAUUGAUUGGUGGAAGGAAGGGAGGGAGGGAAGGAAGGGAGAGCAGAGGGAGGGAGGGCAGAGGGAGAGCAGAGGAAGGAAGAGAGGAAAGUAGGCGAGAGGACAACUCUCGAGCCACAGCCUACCAUGGCCAAGCCCCACUUACAAGAUGUAGGCGAUGACACCUAUGGACCAGCAAUCCACAGCCUUGCUAUAGGGCUUCUGGGCCAGUACUUCAGGGGCUGUGGAGGGAAGAGGACGUGGUGGUGACAAAUCUCUGCCCUUCAACUCUUCCCCCGACCAUCACAGCCCCAGCCCAGGGCCCUCCGCACCCACGUAUCCCGGAGUUCCACAGGCGGUGGAGAGCACACUGCCCGGGUCCUCCAUCUUGGAGAGGCCAAAGUCGGAGAUCAUGAUUUUGGAGUCUUCAUCCAGGCUGUAGUACAGCAGAUUCUCUGGCUUGAAGGGCAGGAGGGAAGAGAAGGGGCAAUCAGAGAUGGUUAGAGGCUGGUAGAACCUUCUGCCGCUCCAAGCACCUUCUGAGAAAUAAUGGAUCCCCAAAAGCCACUGUGGCUUCAUGGCUAUCAUAAGAAAAUCAAGGAAGUUCUCAAGAAGGCCAAAAAUUCCAGGAAGGACAAGGCUCAAGAGGGUGUGGGGGGGAACUGUCUAUAAACCUCAGGUGUGCACUGUAAAGCCCUAAAGAAAUGUUUGAAUGCCUAUUUUAUGCCAGACCCUGGAUUAGUGCUUGAUUUAAUGUCAUCCUCACUGCAUCCCUGCUAGGCCAGUCUGUAUAAUCUCACCUAACAGAUGAGGAAACUGAUGCCUUUGGAGGCAAAGUGACUCACCCAAGAACCCACAGUUAGGCAGUAGCAGAGCCAGAAUUCAAAACCAGGCAUGUCACACCCCAAGUGCCCUUCUCCUAGAACGGAUUGAGAUGUACUGCUAAAUGUGAGCCCCGUCGCUAUUUCUGAGGAGUAGGAUUUCGGGGAUUUCUGGCUUUUUUCUUUAUGUUUUGCUGUCCCAUCC
RNAcentral lists this small RNA (4992 nucleotides) under Pan troglodytes (chimpanzee). RNAcentral's name for it is "retained intron". Lineage: Eukaryota; Metazoa; Chordata; Mammalia; Primates; Hominidae. The record is from RNAcentral.